Molecule: long non-coding RNA, 451 nt
Filed under: Amazona collaria (yellow-billed parrot)
Lineage: Eukaryota; Metazoa; Chordata; Aves; Psittaciformes; Psittacidae
Description: lncRNA (ENSACOG00000010521.1)
Source: RNAcentral
GCCGACCGUUCCGCAGAGCCCGCCUCCUGCCAGGGUGGUGCUGGGCCGUGCCCGGGCUGCUGCCGCUGGCGCUCGGAACCAGCGUGUCAGGCGUUGCCCGGGCAGCUAUGACGGUGCGACGGGGUCCUGGCAGAGGAAUCGUUUCCAUGGGGACGCGUGUAAACAGCGGGUGCGCGGCCAUGGGGGCGGGCCGUUCUCUGCCGAGCAGGACUGCUCCUGAAUCUUCCUCAGAGACUCCAGAUUGCCAGACGUGCACCAACAGUAGGAUAUACAUCCUGUCUGAGGAACAGAAGAACCCACCCUACAGAGAGGUCUUUGAAUUCUUCAUAGACAGCUUCAAGACCUAUAAGCCCUUGCUGUUCGCUAUAAGGAAUGAAUACGAAGUUACUUUGGGUAAGCUUCCUCAAUAUAAAAAGGACAUGGAACUGUUGGAACAAGACCAGAGGAGGGC